GCCCGAGUGUCGAAAUUGGUAUACGAACUUGACUCAAAAUCAAGCGCCCAUAAGGCAUGCCGGUUCGAGUCCGGCCUCGGGCA
Molecule: transfer RNA, 83 nt
Filed under: Acholeplasmataceae bacterium
Lineage: Bacteria; Bacillati; Mycoplasmatota; Mollicutes; Acholeplasmatales; Acholeplasmataceae
Description: tRNA-Leu
Rfam family: tRNA
About the family: Transfer RNA (tRNA) molecules are approximately 80 nucleotides in length. Their secondary structure includes four short double-helical elements and three loops (D, anti-codon, and T loops).
Source: RNAcentral